AUAGAUACCCUGGUAGUCCACGCCGUAAACGAUGAGUGCUAAGUGUUAGAGGGUUUCCGCCCUUUAGUGCUGCAGCUAACGCAUUAAGCACUCCGCCUGGGGAGUACGGCCGCAAGGCUGAAACUCAAAGGAAUUGACGGGGGCCCGCACAAGCGGUGGAGCAUGUGGUUUAAUUCGAAGCAACGCGAAGAACCUUACCAGGUCUUGACAUCCUCUGCCAACCCUAGAGAUAGGGCGUUCCCCUUCAGGGGACAGAGUGACAGGUGGUGCAUGGUUGUCGUCAGCUCGUGUCGUGAGAUGUUGGGUUAAGUCCCGCAACGAGCGCAACCCUUGAUCUUAGUUGCCAGCAUUCAGUUGGGCACUCUAAGGUGACUGCCGGUGACAAACCGGAGGAAGGUGGGGAUGACGUCAAAUCAUCAUGCCCCUUAUGACCUGGGCUACACACGUGCUACAAUGGAUGGUACAAAGAGCUGCGAACCCGCGAGGGUAAGCGAAUCUCAUAAAGCCAUUCUCAGUUCGGAUUGGU
RNAcentral lists this ribosomal RNA (526 nucleotides) under uncultured bacterium. Its description in RNAcentral is "bacterial SSU rRNA". It matches the Rfam family "Bacterial small subunit ribosomal RNA", at positions 778 to 1302 of the family's 1533-position model. The record is from RNAcentral.